Molecule: ribosomal RNA, 493 nt
Filed under: uncultured bacterium
Lineage: Bacteria
Description: partial 16S ribosomal RNA
Rfam family: Bacterial small subunit ribosomal RNA
Source: RNAcentral
ACGAACGCUGGCGGCGUGCUUAACCCAUGCAAGUCGAACGGAAAGGCCUGCUUUCCCUUGUGGAUUGCGGGUGCUCGAGUGGCGAACGGGUGAGUAACACGUGAGUGAUCUGCCCCCAACUUGGGUAUAAGCCUGGGAAACUGGGUCUAAUUCCCGAUAGGACUGCAGGGUGGUGCCUGUGGUGGAAAACGAUUUUCUAGUGGUUGGGGAUGAGCUCGCGGCCUAUCAGCUUGUUGGUGGGGUAAUGGCCUACCAAGGCGGCGACGGGUAGCCGGCCUGAGAGGGUGGACGGCCACAUUGGGACUGAGAUACGGCCCAGAAUCCUACGGGAGGCAGCAGUGGGGAAUAUUGCACAAUGGGCGGAAGCCUGAUGCAGCGACGCCGCGUGGGGGAUGACGGCCUUCGGGUUGUAAACUCCUUUCGACCGCGAGGAAGCCACCUGGUUGGAAGGGUGGUGACGGUAGUGGUAGAAGAAGCACCGGCUAACUACGUG